Molecule: ribosomal RNA, 483 nt
Filed under: uncultured bacterium
Lineage: Bacteria
Description: partial 16S ribosomal RNA
Rfam family: Bacterial small subunit ribosomal RNA
Source: RNAcentral
GACGAACGCUGGCGGCGUGCUUAACACAUGCAAGUCGAACGCUGAAGCUCAGCUUUUGUUGGGUGGAUGAGUGGCGAACGGGUGAGUAACACGUGAGUAACCUGCCUCCUUCUUUGGGAUAACUCCCGGAAACGGGUGCUAAUACUGGAUAUUCGCUGGUCUUCGCCUGGGGGUUGGUGGAAAGGGUGGUUGUGGUGGGGGAUGGGCUCGCGGCCUAUCAGCUUGGUGGUGGGGUGAUGGCCUACCGAGGCUUUGACGGGUAGCCGGCCUGAGAGGGGGACCGGGCACAUUGGGACUGAGAUACGGCCCAGACUACUACGGGAGGCAGCAGUGGGGACUAUUGCACAAUGUGCGCAAGACUGAUGCAGCGACGCAGCGUGAGGGAUGGCGUCCUUCGGAUUGUGAACCUCUUUCGCUCAUGGUCAAGCCGCAACCAUGGUUGUGGUGAGGGUAGUGGGUAAAGAAGCGCCGGCUAACUACGUG